This 259-nucleotide ribosomal RNA is filed under the name Staphylococcus condimenti. RNAcentral's name for it is "partial 23S ribosomal RNA". It matches the Rfam family "Bacterial large subunit ribosomal RNA", at positions 206 to 460 of the family's 2925-position model. Lineage: Bacteria; Bacillati; Bacillota; Bacilli; Caryophanales; Staphylococcaceae. The record is from RNAcentral.
GUACCCGGAGGAAGAGAAAGAAAAUUCGAUUCCCUUAGUAGCGGCGAGCGAAACGGGAAGAGCCCAAACCAACAAGCUUGCUUGUUGGGGUUGUAGGACACUCUAUACGGAGUUACAAAGGACGACAUUAGACGAAUCAUCUGGAAAGAUGAAUCAAAGAAGGUAAUAAUCCUGUAGUCGAAAAUGUUGUCUCUCUUGAGUGGAUCCUGAGUACGACGGAGCACGUGAAAUUCCGUCGGAAUCUGGGAGGACCAUCUCC